CAACAAUGGGCAACAUGCACAGUUAGGUCUCUGCGUCAUUCAUUCUACGUAAAAUCUGGAAAUUAUUUGGUGUAUUUAACUUUGCAGUGAAGUGAAAAGUGUAAUAAGAUCAUUACAUAGGAUUUUAGGACUAUCGCCUGAACGAGGAAUUGAAGUGUAAGAACUUAGCACAUAAUUUGCAAAGUGAAGCCAUUGAUAGACCAUCAUAAUUUACACAGGUAACCGUGAAGCAAUAUUUUUUUUGUUCGUAUACAGCGUCAGUUUUAUGCACCGAAACGAUUCAGACUUCCCAGAGUCUGGUAAAGAAUCGCUACCUCCGUUCCACAUGCAAGUGUGAUGUUAUGUAUAAAUUUUAUCUCAAUAAAGUUAACUAAAAAUUUAA
Long non-coding RNA from Stomoxys calcitrans (stable fly), 382 nucleotides. RefSeq lists it as uncharacterized. The transcript is spliced from 2 exons. NCBI's taxonomy places the organism in Eukaryota, Metazoa, Arthropoda, Insecta, Diptera, Muscidae. The record is from RefSeq and is a predicted model, not a curated record.